UAGCGGGAGGCCUAACACAUGAAUGCCGAGCGGUAGAGAUUCUUCGGAAUCUUGAGAGCGGCGUACGGGUGCGGAACACGUGUGCAACCUGCCUUUAUCUGGGGGAUAGCCUUUCGAAGGGAAGAUUAAUACCCCAUAACUUUUUGAAUGGCAUCAUUUAAAAUUGAAAACUCCGGUGGAUAGAGAUGGGCACGCGCAAAAUUAGAUAGUUGGGGAGGUAACGGCUCACCAAGUCUACGAUCUUUAGGGGGCCUGAGAGGGUGAUCCCCCACACUGGUACUGAAACACGGACCAAACUCCUACGGGAGGCAGCAGUGAGGAAUAUUGGACAAUGGGUGAAAGCCUGAUCCAGCCAUCCCGCGGGAAGGACGACGGCCCUAUGGGUUGUAAACUUCUUUUGUAUAGGGAUAAACCUACUCUCGUGAGAGUAGCUGAAGGUACUAUACGAAUAGCAUCCGGCUAACUCCGUGCCAGCAGCCGCGGUAAUACGGAGGGUGCCAGCGUUAUCCGGAUUUAUUGGGUUUAAAGGGUCCGUAGGCGGAUCUGUAAGUCAGUGGUGAAAUCUCACAGCUUAACUGUGAAACUGCCAUUGAUACUGCAUGUCUUGAGUGUUGUUGAAGUAGCUGGAAUAAGUAGUGUAGCGGUGAAAUGCAUAGAUAUUACUUAGAACACCAAUUGCGAAGGCAGGUUACUACGCAACAACUGACGCUGAUGGACGAAAGCGUGGGGAGCGAACAGGAUUAGAUACCCUGGUAGUCCACGCCGUAAACGAUGCUAACUCGUUUUUGGAUUUUCGGAUUCAGAGACUAAGCGAAAGUGAUAAGUUAGCCACCUGGGGAGUACGUUCGCAAGAAUGAAACUCAAAGGAAUUGACGGGGGCCCGCACAAGCGGUGGAUUAUGUGGUUUAAUUCGGUGAUACGCGAGGAACCUUACCAAGGCUUAAAUGGGAAAUGACAGGUUUAGAAAUAGACUUUUCUUCGGACAUUUUUCAAGGUGCUGCAUGGUUGUCGUCAGCUCGUGCCGUGAGGUGUUAGGUUAAGUCCUGCAACGAGCGCAACCCCUGUCACUAGUUGCCAUCAUUAAGUUGGGGACUCUAGUGAGACUGCCUACGCAAGUAGAGAGGAAGGUGGGGAUGACGUCAAAUCAUCACGGCCCUUACGCCUUGGGCCACACACGUAAUACAAUGGCCAGUACAGAGGGCAGCUACACGGUGACGUGAUGCAAAUCUCGAAAGCUGGUCUCAGUUCGGAUUGGAGUCUGCAACUCGACUCUAUGAAGCUGGAAUCGCUAGUAAUCGCGCAUCAGCCAUGGCGCGGUGAAUACGUUCCCGGGCCUUGUACACACCGCCCGUCAAGCCAUGGAAGUCUGGGGUACCUGAAGUCGGUGACCGUAACAGGAGCUGCCUAGGUAA
Molecule: ribosomal RNA, 1412 nt
Filed under: Chryseobacterium sp. CH31
Lineage: Bacteria; Pseudomonadati; Bacteroidota; Flavobacteriia; Flavobacteriales; Weeksellaceae
Description: bacterial SSU rRNA
Rfam family: Bacterial small subunit ribosomal RNA
Source: RNAcentral